UAUUUAAAAUUUCAUUCAUUUGUAUUGUUAAAAAUUGACCUGGUUGACGAAAUAACCAGAUAGUAGUAACAUGUGUGGUGCAACGUGCACCUUAGCAAACGUAUAGAGACCAAUUUUCAAUAGUAGAAAUGGAUGAAAAUUUUAACA
This is a non-coding RNA of Gossypium arboreum, 147 nucleotides long. Lineage: Eukaryota; Viridiplantae; Streptophyta; Magnoliopsida; Malvales; Malvaceae. The record is from Rfam.